RNAcentral lists this ribosomal RNA (422 nucleotides) under Deraeocoris pulchellus. Its description in RNAcentral is "partial 16S ribosomal RNA". The stretch from base 296 to 422 matches the Rfam family "Bacterial large subunit ribosomal RNA", at positions 2473 to 2600 of the family's 2925-position model. The record is from RNAcentral. Lineage: Eukaryota; Metazoa; Arthropoda; Insecta; Hemiptera; Miridae.
GUCUUUUAAUUGAAGUCUAGAAUGAAUGGUUGGAUGAGGGAUUAACUUUCUUUAUUUUAAGUGAAUGAAUUUGAUUUUUAUGUCAAAAAUCGUAGAUAUUAUUAUAGGACGAGAAGACCCUAUAGAACUUUAUUAUUUAAUUUAUAGUUUUAUUAUGGUAAUUUUAUGGUUUAUUUCUAUAUAUUAAAUAAUUUUAUUGGGGUGAUAAAAAAAAUAAUAUAACUUUUUUAUUUAUAUACAUUUAUAUAUGUUUAUAUGAUCCUUUUUUAUGGAAUUAAGAUUAAGUUACCUUAGGGAUAACAGCGUUAUUUUAUCAUAGAGUUCAUAUCGAUGAUAAAGUUUGCGACCUCGAUGUUGGAUUAAAAUAAGGGGCAGGGGUAGUUUUUUGCUUACUGGGUCUGUUCGACCCAUAAAUUUUUACA